AUGAAGUCAUUGGCCAUUUGUGAUUAGCUCGGUCUCCAGCUCCUUUCCCCUCCCAGGGGUUUGGGAGGUGGGGCUGCAAGUUCUACCCUCUGAUCAAGGCCUGAUGUUCUGCCUUCACCCCGCAGCUUCCCAAGGGUUCCCAGACACCAGUCAUUUCAUAUCAUACAAACAGAACUCAUCACUCUGGAGAUUCCAGGAGUUUUAGGAGCCAUUUACCAGGAACCAGGGACAAAGAACAAAUCAAACAUCUGCUUCCUGGGGAGCUGCAGGAGGCCAUGGAGAUAAAGAGAAUGGAAAUGGAGCUGCCAGCACAACGAAGGAACACAGGUUUGAGGUGGGCUGUGCUAUGUAUGAACUUUCCUAGAAGAGAAGCUGGAGUGUGACCAUGACAUCUGCCAGUGGAAGUGGAGACAGUCACAUCCUCAUUAAGAGGGGGCUCAAACUUCAGUGUGCGUGAGAAUUACUCAGACAGCUUAUUCGGUCACAGAUGGCUGAUUCAGUAGGGCUGAACCAGACUCAGAACACUUGGUCUAUAGGAACCACAGGAGGUUAGAGAAGGGGAAAACCAGCACAGACUCUGGUGGUGGAGAAGUUCAGGUAAGUGUGUGAUUCUGCUGGUUCCUUUGCUUGAGUGUUGGCCUCACUUUAGGUGGGGCUUGGUGGAUCUUUCAGUGACUUCAGAAAGUGAGUGGAAUGAAAUGGAGCCUCAUUUGGUUUGGCAGAAGAUUGGGGUAUUUGGAUAGGUCGUGAUCAGGAUGGGAGAUGUUGUAGACCAGGGAAACCCUGUGAACAAAAUCACCACACCUGAAAUGAUCUCUGAAUGUCCUGUUCACCCUGUUGGGAAAGCUCAGCUCCAUCCAAUCACAUGGG
Molecule: long non-coding RNA, 870 nt
Filed under: Sus scrofa (pig)
Lineage: Eukaryota; Metazoa; Chordata; Mammalia; Artiodactyla; Suidae
Description: lncRNA (ENSSSCG00055021591.1)
Source: RNAcentral